GGGGUGUAAAGAUCUGUCAGUGGGGACGAAACUUGACGGUACCCACAGAGGAAGCACCGGCUAACUCCGUGCCAGCAGCCGCGGUAAUACGGAGGGUGCAAGCGUUGUCCGGAAUCAUUGGGCGUAAAGAGUUCGUAGGUGGUUUGUUAAGUUUGGUGUUAAAUGCAGAGGCUCAACUUCUGUUCGGCAUCGGAUACUGGCAGACUAGAAUGCGGUAGAGGUAAAGGGAAUUCCUGGUGUAGCGGUGAAAUGCGUAGAUAUCAGGAGGAACAUCGGUGGCGUAAGCGCUUUACUGGGCCGUAAUUGACACUGAGGAACGAAAGCCAGGGUAGCAAAUGGGAUUAGAUACCCCAGUAGUCCUGGCCGUAAACGAUGGAUACUAGGUGUUGCGGGUAUCGACCCCUGCAGUGCCGUAGCAAACGCGUUAAGUAUCCCGCCUGGGGAGUA
This 447-nucleotide ribosomal RNA is filed under the name uncultured bacterium. RNAcentral describes it as "bacterial SSU rRNA". It matches the Rfam family "Bacterial small subunit ribosomal RNA", at positions 420 to 882 of the family's 1533-position model. The record is from RNAcentral.